CGGGGAAUAGUUCAGAUGGCUAGAACGCUGCGUUUGGGACGCAGAGGUCGCAGGUUCAAGUCCUGUUUCCCCGACCA
RNAcentral lists this transfer RNA (77 nucleotides) under Candidatus Dojkabacteria bacterium. RNAcentral describes it as "tRNA-Pro". It matches the Rfam family "tRNA". From Rfam's summary of the family: Transfer RNA (tRNA) molecules are approximately 80 nucleotides in length. RNAcentral also lists the same sequence under 1 other name. The record is from RNAcentral.